UUAAGUUCAGCGGGUAGUCCUACUCGAUUUGAGGUCAAGUUGUCAGAGAUUGUCCAAAGACAGUUUAAGAGGCACAGAGCUCCCAAUUAGCCACCCUCUUUCAAGGCGCCGGCGAAGACACUUAUCACGCCGUACUAUGUCCAAUCAGGAGUUGCACUAAUGCAUUUGAGGUGAGCCGCACAGUAGCAGCAGCACCCAAG
This 200-nucleotide unclassified non-coding RNA is filed under the name Sebacina sp. RNAcentral's name for it is "partial internal transcribed spacer 2". Lineage: Eukaryota; Fungi; Basidiomycota; Agaricomycetes; Sebacinales; Sebacinaceae. The record is from RNAcentral.